This 467-nucleotide ribosomal RNA is filed under the name Coniochaeta subcorticalis. Its description in RNAcentral is "LSU rRNA". It matches the Rfam family "Eukaryotic large subunit ribosomal RNA", at positions 96 to 575 of the family's 3401-position model. The record is from RNAcentral. Lineage: Eukaryota; Fungi; Ascomycota; Sordariomycetes; Coniochaetales; Coniochaetaceae.
AAGCSGCAACAGCUCAAAUUUGAAAUCUGGCUUCGGCCCGWKUUGUWAUUUGUAGAGGAUGCUUUUGGUGCGGUGCCUUCUGAGUUCCCUGGAACGGGACGCCAGAGAGGGUGAGAGCCCCGUAUAGUUGGACACCAAGCCUUUGUAAAGCUCCUUCGACGAGUCGAGUAGUUUGGGAAUGCUGCUCUAAAUGGGAGGUAUAUCUCUUCUAAAGCUAAAUAUAGGCCAGAGACCGAUAGCGCACAAGUAGAGUGAUCGAAAGAUGAAAAGCACUUUGAAAAGAGGGUUAAAUAGUACGUGAAAUUGUUGAAAGGGAAGGGCUUGUGACCAGACUUGUGCCGGGCUGAUCAUCCACGGUUCUCCGUGGUGCACUCUGCCCGGCUCAGGCCAGCGUCGGUUCUGGCAGGGGGACAAAAGCUUAGGGAACGUGGCUCCUCCGGGAGUGUUAUARCCCUUWGCUCAAUACC